GAUGAACGCUGGCGGCGUGCCUAAUACAUGCAAGUCGAGCGAACGGACGAGAAGCUUGCUUCUCUGAUGUUAGCGGCGGACGGGUGAGUAACACGUGGAUAACCUACCUAUAAGACUUGGAUAACUUCGGGAAACCGUAGCUAAUACCGGAUAAUAUUUUUAACCGCAUGGUUCAAAAGUGAAAGACGGUCUUGCUGUCACUUAUAGAUGGAUCCGCGCUGCAUUAGCUAGUUGGUAAGGUAACGGCUUACCAAGGCAACGAUGCAUAGCCGACCUGAGAGGGUGAUCGGCCACACUGGAAGUGAGACACGGUCCAGACUCCUACGGGAGGCAGAAGUAGGGAAUCUUCCGAAAUGGGCGAAAGCCUGAAGGAGCAACGCCGCGUGAGUGAUGAAGGUCUUCGGAUCGUAAAACUCUGUUAUUAGGGAAGAACAUAUGUGUAAGUAACUGUGCACAUCUUGACGGUACCUAAUCAGAAAGCCACGGCUAACUACGUG
This 497-nucleotide ribosomal RNA is filed under the name uncultured bacterium. RNAcentral's name for it is "partial 16S ribosomal RNA". It matches the Rfam family "Bacterial small subunit ribosomal RNA", at positions 28 to 507 of the family's 1533-position model. The record is from RNAcentral.